GACGAACGCUGGCGGCGCGCUUAACACAUGCAAGUCGAGCGAUGAAACUUUAACAGAACCCUUCGGGGCGAAGAUAAAGUGGAUUAGCGGCGGACGGGUGAGUAACACGUGAGUAACCUGCCUUAGACAUUGGGAUAGCCUCGGGAAACCGGGAUUAAUACCAAAUAAAAUCAUAAUGACACAUGUCAUAACGCUAAAAACUCCGGUGGUCUAAGAUGGACUCGCGUCCCAUUAGCUAGUUGGUAGAGUAAAAGCCUACCAAGGCGACGAUGGGUAGCCGGCCUGAGAGGGUGAACCGCCACAUUGGAACUGAGAAACGGUCCAAACUCCUACGGGAGGCAGCAGUGGGGAAUAUUGCACAAUGGAGGGAACUCUGAUGCAGCGACGCCGCGUGAACGAAGAAGGCUUUCGAGUCGUAAAGUUCUUUUAUAUGGGAAGAUAAUGACGGUACCAUAAGAAAAAGCCCCGGCUAACUACGUG
RNAcentral lists this ribosomal RNA (480 nucleotides) under uncultured bacterium. RNAcentral's name for it is "partial 16S ribosomal RNA". It matches the Rfam family "Bacterial small subunit ribosomal RNA", at positions 28 to 507 of the family's 1533-position model. The record is from RNAcentral.